GGUUUCAGUACUACUAGCUGUGAGGAGGAGGAGGUUAGCCUUGAUGGCCAGGUGGUACCUCGGAAGGACACCUUUCGGUAUUUGGGGUCAAUGUUGCAGGAGGAUGGGGGUAUUGAUGAAGAUGUGAACCAUCGAAUCAAAGCCGGAUGGAUGAAGUGGCGCCAAGCUUCUGGCAUUCUCUGUGACAAGAGAGUGCCACAAAAGCUAAAAGGCAAGUUCUACAGGACGGUGGUUCGACCCGCAAUGUUGUAUGGCGCGGAGUGUUGGCCGACUAAAAGGCGACAUGUUCAACAGUUAGGUGUGGCGGAGAUGCGUAUGUUGAGAUGGAUGUGUGGCCACACGAGGAAGGAUCGAGUCCGGAAUGAUGAUAUACGAGAUAGAGUUGGGGUAGCACCAAUUGAGGAGAAGCUUGUCCAACAUCGUUUGAGAUGGUUUGGGCAUAUUCAGCGCAGGCCUCCAGAAGCUCCAGUGCAUAGCGGACGGCUAAAGCGUGCGGAGAAUGUCAAGAGAGGGCGGGGUCGACCGAUUUUAACAUGGGAGGAGUCCGUUAAGAGAGACCUGAAGGAUUGGAGUAUCGACAAAGAGCUAGCUAUGGACAGG
Molecule: ribosomal RNA, 600 nt
Filed under: Triticum aestivum (bread wheat)
Lineage: Eukaryota; Viridiplantae; Streptophyta; Magnoliopsida; Poales; Poaceae
Description: partial small subunit ribosomal RNA
Source: RNAcentral